UAGAUAUAGCUUAAUAAAAGCAUAUUACUGUUAAUAAUAAGAUGGAAGCCCCUAUCUAA
This 59-nucleotide transfer RNA is filed under the name Argulus japonicus. RNAcentral describes it as "tRNA-Asn". Lineage: Eukaryota; Metazoa; Arthropoda; Ichthyostraca; Arguloida; Argulidae. The record is from RNAcentral.